RNAcentral lists this ribosomal RNA (459 nucleotides) under uncultured bacterium. RNAcentral describes it as "partial 16S ribosomal RNA". It matches the Rfam family "Bacterial small subunit ribosomal RNA", at positions 338 to 795 of the family's 1533-position model. The record is from RNAcentral.
CCUACGGGAGGCAGCAGUGAGGAAUAUUGGUCAAUGGCCGAGAGGCUGAACCAGCCAAGUCGCGUGUGGGAAGAAUGUCCUAGGGAUUGUAAACCUCUUUUGUCAGGGAGCAAAGUCACCCACGUGUGGGUGUGGGGGAGUACCUGAAGAAAAAGCAUCGGCUAAGUCCGUGCCAGCAGCCGCGGUAAUACGGUGGAGGCGAGCGUUAUCUGGAUUGAUUGGGUUUAAAGGGUGCGGAGGCGGGUGAUCAAGUCAGCGGUAAAAUCGUGGGGCUCAACUCCAUCCAGCCGUUGAAACUGAUGGUCUAGAGUGGGCGAGAAGUAUGCGGAAGGCGUGGUGUAGCGGUGAAAUGCAUAGAUAUCACGAAGAACUCCGAUGGCGAAGGCAGCAUACCGGAGCACGACUGACGCUGAAGCACGAAAGCGUGGGUAUCGAACAGGAUUAGAUACCCGUGUAGUC